ACGAGAAUAUUCCACAAUGGACGAAAGUCUGAUGGAGCGACGCCGCGUGGUUGAUGAAGUCCUUCGGGACGUAAAAACCUUUUAUGGGGGAGGAAGUUAUUGACGUUACCCCAUGAAUAAGAGGCUCCUAACUCUGUGCCAGCAGGAGCGGUAAUACAGAGGCCUCAAGCGUUACCCGGAAUCACUGGGCGUAAAGGGUGUGUAGGCGGCGAUGUUAGUCUUUCGUAAAAGACCGUAGGCUUAACCUAUGGAGUGCGGAGGAAACGGCAUUGCUCAGAGGAUGCGAGAGGUAUAUGGAACUCAUGGUGUAGGGGUGAAAUCCGUUGAUAUCAUGGGGAACACCAAAUGCGAAGGCAAUAUACUGGCGCACUCCUGACGCUGAAACACGAAAGCGUGGGAAUCGAACGGGAUUAGAUACCCCCGUAGUCC
RNAcentral lists this ribosomal RNA (429 nucleotides) under uncultured bacterium. RNAcentral describes it as "bacterial SSU rRNA". It matches the Rfam family "Bacterial small subunit ribosomal RNA", at positions 355 to 796 of the family's 1533-position model. The record is from RNAcentral.